UACGUAGGGUGCAGGCGUUACUCGGAAUUACUGGGCGUAAAGCGUGCGCAGGCGGUUUGCUAAGACAGAUGUGAAAUCCCCGGGCUCAACCUGGGAACUGCAUUUGUGACUGCAAGGCUAGAGUACGGUAGAGGGGGAUGGAAUUCCGCGUGUAGCAGUGAAAUGCGUAGAUAUGCGGAGGAACACCGAUGGCGAAGGCAAUCCCCUGGACCUGUACUGACGCUCAUGCACGAAAGCGUGGGGAGCAAACAGG
RNAcentral lists this ribosomal RNA (253 nucleotides) under uncultured bacterium. Its description in RNAcentral is "partial 16S ribosomal RNA". It matches the Rfam family "Bacterial small subunit ribosomal RNA", at positions 524 to 776 of the family's 1533-position model. The record is from RNAcentral.